GGGAAGUGGCCGCUUGAGGAGGAAAGGAAAAGAAGGAAAGCGGGCAAGCGAUUUGUUCAAGAGCGCUGUAAAGCCACACAGCUGUACACACACACAAAAGUUCUGGUUAAAUUUAAAAAGUCAGAGGAACAAGUCAGUAGCUGGAGAUGCUGCUCAUAAAAGCAUGGCGAGGAAGACUAUCUCUGUGAUUCAGAAGGACUAGAAGCGAAACACCAACUCCCUAUCUGUGAAUUAAGCAAGGCAGGUAGCGGGAGUUAAUUCAUUUGUGAAAUGCAUAUUGGACACUUGAAGCUAUCUUAUAUUGAAUUGGAUCAUUAAUCGGUCUGGCCAGGUAGGAGGGAUCUUUCCCAGCCCUGUGGCCUGAAAUCUUUCAACUGGAUGCAUCUGAGAUUGAAACUGGGACCUUUCCAAUGCACAGCAUGUGCUUUAUCAACGUUCACAGGUCUCAUGUGAAGCUUUGAUAGCAGCCCAUGUAAAUUAUGUGGGAAUGCUGGGCAGAAGAUGGCAAAAUACAUGCUUAUAAUUGGAAUGCAGCUCUCUAUUUACAAUGUUCUCAC
This is a long non-coding RNA of Hemicordylus capensis (graceful crag lizard), 557 nucleotides long. RefSeq lists it as uncharacterized. Lineage: Eukaryota; Metazoa; Chordata; Lepidosauria; Squamata; Cordylidae. The record is from RefSeq and is a predicted model, not a curated record. The transcript has 3 exons.